Molecule: transfer RNA, 75 nt
Filed under: Candidatus Berkelbacteria bacterium CG10_big_fil_rev_8_21_14_0_10_43_13
Lineage: Bacteria; Candidatus Berkelbacteria
Description: tRNA-Val
Rfam family: tRNA
About the family: Transfer RNA (tRNA) molecules are approximately 80 nucleotides in length. Their secondary structure includes four short double-helical elements and three loops (D, anti-codon, and T loops). Further hydrogen bonds mediate the characteristic L-shaped molecular structure. tRNAs have two regions of fundamental functional importance: the anti-codon, which is responsible for specific mRNA codon recognition, and the 3' end, to which the tRNAs corresponding amino acid is attached (by aminoacyl-tRNA synthetases). tRNAs cope with the degeneracy of the genetic code in two manners: having more than one tRNA (with a specific anti-codon) for a particular amino acid; and 'wobble' base-pairing, i.e. permitting non-standard base-pairing at the 3rd anti-codon position.
Source: RNAcentral
GGCCGCUUAGCUCAGCGGUAGAGCACUGCAUUCACAUUGCAGGGGUCAUUGGUUCGAGUCCAGUAACGCCCACCA